UGCCAGCAGCCGCGGUAACACGUAAGGAGCGAGCGUUGUUCGGAAUUAUUGGGCGUAAAGGGCAUGUAGGCGGUUCUGUAAGUCUGAUGUGAAAGCACGCAGCUUAACUGCGAUGUUGCGUUGGAAACUGCAGGACUUGAAUCCGAGAGGGGUGUGUGGAAUUCCUAGUGUAGGGGUGAAAUCUGUUGAUAUUAGGAAGAACACCAGAGGCGAAGGCGACACACUGGCUCUGGAUUGACGCUGAGGUGCGAAAGCGUAGGUAGCGAACAGGAUUAGAUA
This 279-nucleotide ribosomal RNA is filed under the name uncultured bacterium. RNAcentral's name for it is "partial 16S ribosomal RNA". It matches the Rfam family "Bacterial small subunit ribosomal RNA", at positions 506 to 784 of the family's 1533-position model. The record is from RNAcentral.